Molecule: ribosomal RNA, 328 nt
Filed under: uncultured eukaryote
Lineage: Eukaryota
Description: partial 18S ribosomal RNA
Rfam family: Eukaryotic small subunit ribosomal RNA
Source: RNAcentral
CCCUUAGAUGUCCUGGGCUGCACGCGCGCUACACUGAUGUGUCCAGUAAGCACCUAACCUCUUCCGAAAGGAACGGGUAACCUUUGCAAAGCACAUCGUGAUGGGGAUAGAUUAUUGCAAUUAUUAGUCUUGAACGAGGAAUUCCUAGUAAGCACAAGUCAUCAGCUUGUGUUGAUUACGUCCCUGCCCUUUGUACACACCGCCCGUCGCUACUACCGAUUGAAUGGCUUAGUGAGCCUUUGGGAUUGGCAGCCAACACCGGCAACGGUAGCUGGCCGCCGAAAACUUAUGCAAACUUGGUCAUUUAGAGGAAGUAAAAGUCGUAACA